UCCCUGUAGCUCAAACAGUAAGGGAUCUGCCUGCAACGCAGGAGAUCCGGGUUCAAACCCUGGGUUGGGAA
This is a non-coding RNA of Bos taurus (domestic cattle), 71 nucleotides long. The record is from Rfam. Lineage: Eukaryota; Metazoa; Chordata; Mammalia; Artiodactyla; Bovidae.